RNAcentral lists this ribosomal RNA (492 nucleotides) under uncultured bacterium. RNAcentral's name for it is "partial 16S ribosomal RNA". It matches the Rfam family "Bacterial small subunit ribosomal RNA", at positions 29 to 507 of the family's 1533-position model. The record is from RNAcentral.
AUUGAACGCUGGCGGCAUGCUUUACACAUGCAAGUCGAGCGGUAACAGGCCUUCGGGUGCUGACGAGUGGCGAACGGGUGAGUAAUGCAUCGGAACGUACCCAGAGGUGGGGGAUAACGCAGCGAAAGCUGUGCUAGUACCGCAUGUGAUCUGAGGAUGAAAGCGGGGGACCGAGCAGCAAUGUUUGGCCUCGCGCCUUUGGAGCGGCCGAUGUCGGAUUAGCUAGUUGGUGGGGUAAAGGCCUACCAAGGCGACGAUCCGUAGCUGGUCUGAGAGGACGACCAGCCACACUGGGACUGAGACACGGCCCAGACUCCUACGGGAGGCAGCAGUGGGGAAUUUUGGACAAUGGGCGCAAGCCUGAUCCAGCAAUGCCGCGUGCGGGAAGAAGGCCUUCGGGUUGUAAACCGCUUUUGGCAGGAACGAAACGGUGUCCGCUAAUACCGGGCGCUAAUGACGGUACCUGCAGAAUAAGCACCGGCUAACUACGUG